GACGAACGCUGGCGGCGUGCUUAACACAUGCAAGUCGAACGGUGAAGCGCUUGCCUUUUUGGUGGGUGUGGAUGAGUGGCGAACGGGUGAGUAACACGUGAGUAACCUGCCCUCUUCUUCUGGAUAACCUCAUGAAAGUGGGGCUAAUACGGGGUAUUCCGGGUCUGUCGCAUGGCGGGUUUGGGAAAGAUUGCGCCUUUGGGUGUUUUCGGCGGGGGAUGGGCUCGCGGCCUAUCAGCUUGUUGGUGGGGUGAUGGCCUACCAAGGCGGUGACGGGUAGCCGGCCUGAGAGGGUGGACGGCCACACUGGGACUGAGCCACGGCCCAGACUCCUGCGGGAGGCAGCAGUGGGGAAUAUUGCACAAUGGGCGCAAGCCUGAUGCAGCGACGCCGCGUGAGGGAUGGAGGCCUUCGGGUUGUGAACCUCUUUCGCCAGUGAAGCAGGCCUGCUCCUGUGUGGGUGGGUUGACGGUAGCUGGAUAAGAAGCGCCGGCUAACUACGUG
This 504-nucleotide ribosomal RNA is filed under the name uncultured bacterium. Its description in RNAcentral is "partial 16S ribosomal RNA". It matches the Rfam family "Bacterial small subunit ribosomal RNA", at positions 28 to 507 of the family's 1533-position model. The record is from RNAcentral.